UAUUGGUAAUAUUAAGUCAAAUCACAUGGAUACACAGAAACUUCUGUAUUCAAGAUUACAGAUACUGCACGGCCGCAUCGUGCAAUGGAUGAAAAUCAUAUUUUAUUCAUGACGGUGGCGAGAAGGGAAGACACCAUGUAGUGAGGAACACCAGGGAUUCCCGCCAUAGAGAACUACAGUGUGCUACUUAGUCUACUAAAUGGGAGGGCGAUAGAGCAUGUUUCUGCGAAGCGUCUAUGCCAGAUGAAGUAUGCUUUACACAUUCACUCUCGCAAACUUCCAUUCUAACAUACCACUUGUUGGUCACUAAACAGCAGAAACAAUAUGACUUCUUUUUGCACAACGGAUCUCCUUUUUCAUAGACGCAUAAUCCAGAAGGUAAAUUGAUCUUUUCAUUUUCUUGACCUUCCAUGAUUUGGCCUACAGAAUACAUGAAAUCAUUAAUGUAUUCAAAAGCAAUUGUUUGAUGAGCUACAAAGAAACGACCAAAAUCAUAGACAAAAUUCUCUGACUUGGGAAUCUGUAAGCACCUCUAGAUUCAACCACAACAUAUGUACUAUAUUUUAUCAUAGAAAAAGUAUUCACAAAAAUAAUAAAGUGUAUUUUCUAAUACUAGUCGUUGGUUUAUAGCCACUUACACUGUAUGGAUCACAGAGUACAUGAGAAAUCCACAGAUUAUGGUAAAUGCAGAGAAGGAGUUCAUGUACUUUUCCAUCUAAUUAGCGCAGUGCAAUGGUAGGUGCUUUAGUAGUGUUCCUCACGGUAGUUAGAGUAUGUUUUCUUCUUACAAGCAACAAUGGAAGAUGUUUGGUGUGUCCUAGCACCAUCCUUAUAUAUACAUACAUAUCGCUACAAAAAUGGACAAACAUAAAAUUUAAAUAGGAACAUAUAAGUGAAUGUUUUAAUUCUUUGCACCACAUCCCAAAUUUAGUAUCUAUAUUUGGAAAACAGCGUAAAUAUGGGUGGCAGUUUAACAUGCUAAAUAUUUCUCUUAUUAAUGACAUACCAAAUCUGGAAGAGUAUAUCUUCUAUAACUAACGGUUUCCUAUAAAUCUUCCGUUUAACACGCUAUAGGACGGCCCACACAACACGCUAUACAUUAUGUAGGUGCCGCACAUUAUAUAUAUAUUCAAAAUUUCAUUUCUGAACCCUUUAUAGGAUUUUACUACUGCCAACGUCCUGCCAUAAAUGGACGCAACUAACUUGCAUAAUCACCAGCAGCGUCCAUGCAAAAGUCCAACGCUGCAACUGUGUGAUCAUUAGCGGCGUCCAGGAAAAAAAACGUUGCAAGCAAUGUACAUGAGGGCAGAGGCUGCGUUAUAAACAUCUGGCAGCGUGCGGGCACGUCACACGCCAUCAAUUUCACCUAUUGUAGCAGCAUGCGGGGAAGAUGGGCACGCGGCUACUAUCAUAUCUUACACCAUGUGUACGGCCGAUCAUGUCGGUCUUUAAACUUUGCGGCGUGUAGCCCGAGCGAACGAUGCUAACUUUUACAAUCUUGUAGCGUUUUAGUUGGGCCAAACGCUGCGAAGGGUUGCGCCCAACAAUUGAUCACCCUUUCUUAUAAAUUAAAUCCCCUAGAAAAAUGCAAAACAACAGUCCAUUAUAGAAGGCGUUUAAACAGAAAAAUUAUAUAACUUAGUAGCAGCGUGUACAUAUGUUAUUUUAAUUUCUUAAAAUGCAAAUGAAGUCCCAAAAAAUAUGAAACUUGGUACACUGUAAUGAUAUGACACCUAGAGGCUAUGGUAAUUCUUUUUAGAGAUUACACAAAAAUUAUCACGUAAAGUACUUAGAAAACGCGCCAUCUCGAACGAAGAAUUUGUGGUUUCGAGAGGGAACCGAUCAAGUUUAAGGGGAAAUCGUCGCCUUUGUCGGUUGGUUUGGAAACUUCUUUUGUAAGUCAUAGCAAAUUUUAGAUUUUUUAAUUAGUACUAUAAUUUACUUAAAAAACAAAAAAAACUGGAAGAACAAACUAGCAGCGUGCUUACGUAGUCACACUCUGCUAGUGACAGUAUCACUAGCAGCGUUCGAGCAUCCUGACACGCUGUUAAUUUUGUCUCCAAAAUAGUGCUUGUCUGCAAAACAGUGGCCGGUCCUCCACUUAUCCUCUCAAUCCCACCUCGUCCUCCUCUUCCUCCUACGCCGCGCCAUCGCUCCUCCUAAACCACAUCCACCUUCAACCUCGUUGAUGCGGCGGCUGCCGCCCAUGUCCCCGUUGGACCCUUCUCUCGCAUCGCGCCGAUGCCGCUACUGGACCCUCCUCUUGCACUGCCGCGGGCUGGCUGCUGCGACGGUGAGCAUCACAACAAAGGAGUCGUGUGUGGGGUGCCUUCUGCUGCUGGUGAAUGGGACGAUAAACACCGACGCUCCUCUUCUUCCUCGAUCCGCUCAUCGCCUAGUCGUGCGCCCGGUGAGAUGACGACCCUUCCUCCCUUUCUAUUUUCCUUGCAGUGUUCUGAUUUCCUGUCUGGAUUAAGAGGCAUUGGUUAACUUAGUAUUGAACUCAUGCUCCAGCCAACUCAUCCAAAAGUCCGAACUGAUGAAGAUGGGUGGGGAAUAUAUUUCAACAGACCCACCGUUUGCACCCAACCCCGCAUCACGGGCAACACGUACCAUCCGAGUAAUUGAGUUUGUUCCGACACUUUUUUGACCAACAUGCCGCAUCCAAACUUUACAAAUGACAACGAGGCUGCAACGGUGCACAACAGGUAAAGAUGCCGUUAUGGAAGGUGAUGCCAUGUCGUCUUACGCAUUGCUUCCCGCUCGCUACGACGCUUCACCAACAACAUCUUUGCCAUCGACCUCGGCAUCAACAUCCUGUUGUUCUCCAGACUCCAGGGCACCACUUGCAAGAGAUCUAGCGAGGCCAUGAACAUGCAGUAGAAAAAGGCAAGGAUGCGUGUUCAUCUGUUAACAACAUCACCUGUUGAAUAUAUGAGUAAAUUACUACAAAAUUUAAUUCGAACAAACAGUAAAUAAAUCAUGACGACGAAAACAGAGUGUGACGCCCCCUAUUCAAUCGUACAUUAAUCAUACACGCAAACGUGUACGAUCAAGAUCAGGGACUCACGGGAAGAUAUCACAACACAACUCUAGACACAAAUAAAAUAAUACAAGCUUUAUAUUACAAGCCAGGGGCCUCGAGGGCUCGAAUACAUAGCUUGAUGCACAAGAGUCAGCGGAAGCAACAAUAUCUGAGUAUAGACAUAAGGUUAGACAAGACUGCCUUAGAAGGCUAGCACAAACAUCAACGGUCGAAGAGGCAAGGCCUCCUGCCUGGGACCUCCUAACUACUCCUAGUCUUCGGCGGCCUCCAUGUAGUAGUAUCCGUCGGCGGUGGCAUCUGGCUCCAGGGAUCCGCCAUCUGGUUGCAUCAACCGGAAAGAAGGAGGAAGGGGGGAAAGGGGUAGCAAAGCAACCGUGAGUACUCAUCCAAAGUACUCGCAAGCAUCAGAUCUAUACUAAGUAUGCAUUGGUAUCAUAUGGAAGGGUUAUAUAUGUGGACUGAACUGCAGAAUGCCAGAAUAGAGGGAAAGGCCUAGCCUAUAAAAGACUAGCAUCUUCAAGCAGCUCCAAGCAUCUUGCAGCAUGUAGAAGAGUAAACAAUAGCAGAUUAUAUUUAACAAACAUGUUGUAGCAUUAAUGCCCAGAGAUCCUUCCUCGACUCCCUGCGAUAAAGCAAUCCCGGGGCCACAUAUCUCAAGUAUCCAUUUCUAGUUGUAAAAGAUCAGAAUAUAAGUCUGAACGUCCGUUACCGUGGACACGACUAUUAAUAGAAAAUCUUCCCUGCAGGGGUGCACCACGUUUUCCAACACGCUUGAUUACUCUGGACGGACACACUUUUCUGGGUCAAUGCCCAGCCUCGGAAAAUCAACGUUGUAGCCCUACCUAGGCUCAGCAGAGAGGUCCCCGCCGGUCUACAUCCUAAGCACUCCGGGGUCUGGGCCCAUUGCCCGUUGCACUCCGGGUCGUUGUGCGCAAGGGGAUACUAGAACCACCUCUGCCUAGAUGGCGCGAUCCGGCCCGGCCACAAUGCUGAACUGGACGUCUAACAAAGCUUCGGCUGAUACUACGAUGCCGAGGCCCAUAACUAUUCUCGCGUGGUGGUUAGUUCGUAAAGGCCAGAGGCCAACUCAUAACAAAUACCCAAACCAUAGUGUAUUAUUAGCUUUUGGAGACGAGCAGAGACUCAUGAUAAUGUGACCCCGUCGCCCCGUCUCGAGGAAAUACGGCAAGGGCUAGCCCAGCCCACUCGGGGGCGGCCUGCCUGCCCGGCCGUGCCUCGUAACCAUCUUGCGGGUGCUCUCCGGGCCCGCCCGACUUUCCCAAAGGUCUCAAGUAAAGUUAGGGUAACCGUGUGUCCAAACAUCAAGGGGAAAACCCGCGGAAUCACCCCUGGUGAAUUCCACUUGAUGUAAUCAUCAAGGUGAACGUAAGAGGAACCACCCUCGAGGUUCACACUUGAGGGGUUGCACGAGAGAGCCGUAUCGGGAGUGCUGAAGGAGGAACCACCCUCAUUGACCACGACCAAAUAGCUACACUACAGAGUUGUCAUCGGGAGUGCGUUCUGAGGUCUCACCCUCGUCACUCGAUAAUAGCUCUACAGAGUCGGGCAACAAAAGGGGCGUGAUGUGAUGUGAGGUGUCGGGCUCUGGUCGUCGAUCACGUUGAUCGAGUCGUCGAUGAUGAAGCAGGGGCAACAAGGACAAGGUGGGGGUCACAGAUGGAUCACUAACCAACCUAUACUAAGAAGUUUAGGAUAAGCAGGUAAGGUACAAUGAGCAGGUUACAAAAGCAGGCUAUGCAUCAGAAUAGGAGCAAUCAAUUACAGUAGCAAAAUCUAAUGCAAGCAUGAAAGAAUGGAAUGGGCGAUAUCGGGAUGAUCAAAGGGGGGGCUUGCCUGGAAGUUCCGCUGAAAGGGAAGAAGGCUCGUCGGUGACGUAGUCGAUCACAGGGGCAUCGGCAUCGGUCUCGGGGUCUACCGGAGAGAAGAGGGGGAAGAAAUAGUAAAUACAGAGCAAACAUAUACAUGACAAGCAAUAAGCAGCGCUAGGGGUGUUCUAACGCGACACUACACGAUACUGGCAAAGGGAGGAAACAUCCGGGAAAGUUUUCCCGAAGUUUGGCAUUUUCAGACAGAUGAAACGGAGGGGGACGGUUGCAGGUUUGCUAUGCUAGGGACGUGUGGCAGACGAACAGGCUGCAUACUCAGAUUCGUCUCAAAAUUCUGAGCAACUUUAAUGUAGAAAACUUUUUCAUCCGAGUUACUGAUUAUUUCCUAUGUUUUUCAAAGAUUUAACAAUAUUUUGGAUUUAUUAUUAAUUUGAAAAUAAAUGCUAAAAUGCUAGGGACACCCAGCACAGGGUACACAAAAGUGCACCCAGUGGCUGACAGGUGGGCCAGGGGGUCCCAGUUGACCAGUCAAUGUUUGACUAGUCAAUAGGGUGUGGGGCCCCCUGUCUUACACACAACAGCUAACCUAACAGUUUAAUUAGACUAGUUAUGUAAUUAAGCUAAUUAAACAGAGUUAAUUAAGUUAAUUAACUUAUUAAUUAAUUAAUUAACUAUUAUUCUUUAACCCUUUUUAAAAUAACAGGGGCGUGGGGCCCCCUAGUCAGUGGGUCGGGGGGGCUUAGCGGGCGACGGGCUAACGAGGCUGCGGGCGGGGGUGUGGGCGCCCGCCUGAACACGCACGGGCGUACAGGAGCGACUGGGCGGCGGCGCCGGAUGCUAGAGGAGGCCGCGGGCGCGACGUCUGGGGCGGCGCGACGAGCGACGGGGCCGCUGAGCUGGAGCGGGGCGAGGUCAAGGCGCGGGCGAGCGGGUGCGUGCCGGCGAGGGCGGUCGCCGACGGCGGGCGCAGGAUGCAGGCCCAUUGGUGGCGUGGUGGGACUGCGACGCGACCCGUGUGGGCAUAGGCGGCGGCAGUGGCAAAAGGGGGGUCCGCGACGGCCAGAGCCAGCAGGCCAGGGGAGGCACCCGGGACGCGGGCAAGGCACGACGACUACGGCGUCCGGCAGUGAAGGAGAGGGGAAGGGGAAGAGGGCUCACGAGGCCUUGUAGAUGUGCUAAAGUGAGCUCGGGGCAGCGGUGGUCGACGAUGGGGACGGCGACGACGCGAUGGAGCCGCUGGGGAGGAGGACGGGGACGAUCCGGUGAAGUCGGGGAGGCGGUCGGGCGAGGGGGGCUCCACGCGGCGGCGGUUGUCGGGUGACGAGAGAGCGUCGGGGCGCAGCGGGGUCGAUGCGCGGCCAGCGGGCGCCAGGCGUAGGGACGUCAGCGGGGUCGGGCGCUCCGCCGAGAUCCAGACGGGAGGAGGAGAAUGGGAUCGUGGGAGUGGGGAACGUGGGGGAGUGAGGGGGUCGUGCGGGGGAAAAGAUCCCAGGGAGCUGACGAGGAGAGGGGGGACUCGGUCUUAUGCCCACGCGGCAUGGGCUGGUAGGCCAGCUGGGCCAGUUGGCCCAGUGGGGGGAGGUCUUUUUUUGUUUUGCCUUUUUUUUGGUUGUUUCUCCUUGUUCUUUUAUUUACUUUUGUUGUUUAAUUUAAUUUUGAAUAUUGAAAUCGAACGUGAUUGAAUCAUCACGAGGUUAACAACAGUAAUUGCGGUGACGUGGCAUCAUUAGCAUGGGAUUACUGUAGCAUAAUUAUCCGGGUGUUACAAUUCUCCUCCACUACAAGAGAUCUCGUCCCGAGAUUUAGGAGGCAGAAGGAAAAAGUUUGGGGUAUUCAUCAGGAAGGCGAUCCUCGCGUUCCCAAGUGGCUUCGUCUUCAGAGUGAUGCGACCACUGGACCUUGAGGAACUUGAUCGCCUUCUGACGUGUGCGGCGUUCAGCUUGGUCGAGAAUGCGGACCAGAUGCUCUUUAUAGCAGAGGUCCUAUUGCAACUCGAGCACUUCAUGAUUCACUGCUCGGAUUGGGUCCUUGAAGCAGCGGCGGAGUUGUGACACGUGGAACACAUCGUGAACCUGAGAAAAGUUCGACGGUAGUUCCAACUGGUAUGCCACUUUUCCACGCCUUUCGAGAAUAGUGAAUGGACCAAUAUAGUGAGGAGCUAGCUUGCCCUUGAUCCCGAAGCGGUGUGCACCCUUCAUUGGUGUGACCCGAAGAUAAGCCUUUUCACCAGGUUGAUGGACCAUGUCUUUGUGAUGACAGUCAUACUGAGUUUUCUGACGUGACUGAGCAGUCUAGAGAUUCUCGCGAAUAAUGCGGACUUGUUCUUCGGCGUGUUGGAUAAUAUCCGGACCGAAGAGUGGACGUUCCCCAGUUUCUGACCAGUUCAGAGGGGUUCGACACUUUCGUCCAUAUAACACUUCGAAGGGGGGCCAUCUUCGGACUAGCUUAAUAGUUAUUGUUGUAGGAGAACUCAGCAUACGGGAGAGAUUCCUCCCAUUUCUUGCCGAAGGAAAUAACACAAGCUCGAAGCAUGUCUUCGAGAACUUGAUUGACACGUUCAACUUGUCCCUGCGACUGAGGUUGAAAAGCAGUGCUGAAAGACAGAUGAGUUCCCAUAGCUUGUUGGAAACUUGCCCAGAAUCUUGAAGUGAAUAAGCUGCCACGGCCUAAGCUGAUUUCCAGCGGACUACCGUGAAGUGAAACAAUUCUGGACAUAUAGAGAGUUGCCAACUGACUAGCAGUGAUGGUUUCUUUGACGGCCAGAAUGUGUGCAACUUUAGAAAGCCGGUCAAUGACGACAAGAAUAGCAUCAUUACCUUUCUGUGAUUUGGGAAAACCGGUGACAAAGUCCAUUCCGAUUUCCAUUCAGGAAUAGAGAUAGGUUGCAGAGUUCCAGCAGGCCUUUGAUGUUCUGAUUUUAUACGACGGCAAACAUCACAUUCAGCAACAUAACGAGCAAUGUCCUGCUUCAUAUUUGACCACCAGAAUCUCUGACGAAUGUCUUGGUACUACCGGGAUGAAUAGACAACGGAGUGUCAUGAGCUUCUCUCAUAACUUCCCGAGUCAUAUCCAGGUUGUCUUUUGAAGGAACCACUAGGCGACCUUUAAAGAACAAGGUGCUAUCAUCUUCAAGAGUGAAGAACGAGGGCCUUCCUUCUGCGAGGUAGCACUUAAUCUUCUUAACUUGAGAGUCAUACUUCUGUAGUCUCUUGAUGCUCUCCACGAGAUCUGGUUCGACAACCAGGGUAUUGAGGGAACCCUGAGGAACAACACGGAGGUUCAUCUUGCGGAACUCUGGAGGAGGGGGAGCGAGUGCACCAGGUGGAACAAUAUGGAGGUUCAGCUUUUUGAAUUCUUCAAGAAGCGAGGGCUGAACUUUGUGAACCUGGAGGCGGUUGCAAUAGGACUUGCGGCUCAAGGCAUCAGCCAUUACAUUAGCCUUACCUGGUGUAUAAGAAAAACCCAAGUCAAAAUCUGCUACGGUCUCCAUCCAUCUCUGCUGACGGAGGUUCAGGUCUGGCUGGGUAAAUAGGUACUUCAGACUUUGGUGGUCGGUGAAGAUCUCGCAACGAUUACCAAGAAGGAAAUAUCGCCACUACUUCAGUGCAAAUUUAACUGCAGGAAGAUCAAGGUCAUGGACUGGGUAGUUCUUUUGGAAAGGCUUGGAAUUCACAAACGGCUGGAGACUUUUCAAUUCCCACAAGAGGAGAAGCGUUUACGCGUUCAAGGAAUAAAUCCAUGUUUCGGCAUUAUGAACAAGAUGAGCAUGGUAGCUUACUAUCUCACUCGAAGGAUGUAGUAGAUGGAAGGUUUUAGCGACGCAAAUGAUAGAAGCGGUAUGUGUUUCAACCAUUCCAUUCCCAGAAUGAGGUCGAUAUUGGAAGACUUCAAAGCAAUGGGGGAAACAUGGAAUUCCAGCCCUUCAAUUUCAAAGGGGAUGUUGGGACUAACCCUGGUGGUUCGACAUUGGCCCGCAGAAUGCAGCUUGGAAUUCUGGCCAAGUAAUGGCGGUUCCAACAGGUAAGGAACGACUGUGGCUGUCCUACCAUUGAGCAGCAGGACCUUUCAGGUAGUAAGCCGCGAAGGUGGCAUAGUUGGAAGGGGCUAUAUCAGCAAACUCUAACUCGAAAGUGAUGUCAUAGAGCCAGUUACAGCAUGAAGUGGCUGAGACGAGUUGCGGUAGAUGACAGGGUUGAGACGCGCAAAGACUUACAGAGUUACUGGGGUUGGCUGCUGAUUCAUAUUGGGGUGCGGAAACUGAGCCAUGACUCAUACCAUGAACUGGCGAUUCAACAUCAAACUGUUGUAUCAUUCCGGCCAUGUAUUCUGGAGGUGGUGGAUUGUUGGGACCACGGCCACAUCCAGCGGGUCUAACCCGCCCUGCUUAAAUGCGACAAGGACGGGGUAGUUCAGCAAGGGUUUGUGCAAGUGUAUAGAGUCAUUCAUGACGUAUCUUGGACAACGAGCAAAGGCAUUGUAUGUACAAAGCCGUAGUCAUUGAAGACAUACAUAUAAAAAUGUAGAGCCAAUUACACGUUGUUCGUAUGAGUUCGGACAAGAGAAGAACCUUAGACAUACUAGGCGGCACGUAUGCACGCGAUGGAGGGAUACAAUAGCGGGACAUAGCAAAGGCUACAUCAACGUCAGGGAAAACCUCUGGAACGAGGGAUUUGAAAGUGACAAUGCAGGGUGCCCUCGAUAAGAGGAUCCUGCGGUCAAUGAACAUUAUGAAGCAGAUAUUGGCCCUUAAUUCGAGAAAGGCGUAAUACAAAUCUCCGGAUGGAUGUGAUCACGAGAACCUAAUGUUAGACUUAGCAAAAUCAUUUAACCCGAAUAAAAGAGAGAUCAGAGUCCCAGAGUAUAAACGAGGAGUAAAAGAUCCUAAUACCACCCAAUGGCGACGUGGGCCCGUAAGCCACACAGCCAUGUUAGUAAAUCAGUUAUUCAAAGACUAGAUUCAACUUCGGCCAAGGAGUUGGAAAUGGGGGUUCCUACAGGCAGUCGGCUCUGAUACCAACUUGUAACGCACCCGAUUCAAUCGUACAUUAAUCAUACACGCAAACGUGUACGAUCAAGAUCAGGGACUCACGGGAAGAUAUCACAACACAACUCUAGACACAAAUAAAAUAAUACAAGCUUUAUAUUACAAGCCAGGGGCCUCGAGGGCUCGAAUACAUAGCUUGAUGCACAAGAGUCAGCGGAAGCAACAAUAUCUGAGUAUAGACAUAAGGUUAGACAAGACUGCCUUAGAAGGCUAGCACAAACAUCAACGGUCGAAGAGGCAAGGCCUCCUGCCUGGGACCUCCUAACUACUCCUAGUCUUCGGCGGCCUCCAUGUAGUAGUAUCCGUCGGCGGUGGCAUCUGGCUCCAGGGAUCCACCAUCUGGUUGCAUCAACCGGAAAGAAGGAGGAAGGGGGGAAAGGGGUAGCAAAGCAACCGUGAGUACUCAUCCAAAGUACUCGCAAGCAUCAGAUCUAUACUAAGUAUGCAUUGGUAUCAAAUGGAAGGGUUAUAUAUGUGGACUGAACUGCAGAAUGCCAGAAUAGAGGGAAAGGCCUAGCCUAUAAAAGACUAGCAUCUUCAAGCAGCUCCAAGCAUCUUGCAGCAUGUAGAAGAGUAAACAAUAGCAGAUUAUAUUUAACAAACAUGUUGUAGCAUUAAUGCCCAGAGAUCCUUCCUCGACUCCCUGCGAGAAAGCAAUCCCGGGGCCACAUAUCUCAAGUAUCCAUUUCUAGUUGUAAAAGAUCAGGAUAUAAGUCUGAACGUCCGUUACCGUGGACACGACUAUUAAUAGAAAAUCUUCCCUGCAAGGGUGCACCACAUUUUCCAACACGCUUGAUUACUCUGGCCAGACACACUUUUCUGGGUGAAUGCCCAGCCUCAGAAAAUCAACACGUCGUAGCCCUACCUAGGCUCAGCAGAGAGGUCCCCGCCGGUCUACAUCCUAAGCACUCCGGGGUCUGGGCCCAUCGCCCGUUGCACUUCGGGUCUUUGUGCGCAAGGGGAUACUAGCACCACCUCUGCCUGGAUGGCGCGAUCUGGCCCGGCCACAAUGCUGAACUGGACGUCUGACAAAGCUUCAGCUGAUACUACGAUGCCGGGGCCCAUAACUAUUCUCGUGUGGUGGUUACUACGUAAAGGCCAGAGGCCAACUCUGAACAAAUACCCAAACCAUAGUGUAUUAUUAGCUUGCGGAGACGAGCAGAGACUCACGAUAAUGUGACCCCGUCGCCCCGUCUCGAGGAAAUACGGCAAGGGCUGGCCCAGCCCACUCGGGGGCGGCCUGCCUGCCCGGCCGUGCCUCGUAACCAUCUUGCGGGUGCUCUCCGGGCCCGCCCGACAUUCCCAAAGGUCUCAAGUAAAGUCCGAGUAACCGUGUGUCCAAACAUCAAGGGGAAACCCCGAGGAAUCACCCCCGGUGAAUUCCACUCGAUGUAAUCAUCAAGGUGAACGUAAGAGGAACCACCUUCGAGGUUCACACUUGAGGUGUUGCACGACAGAGCCGUAUCGGGAGUGGUGAAGGACGAACCACCCACAUUGACCACGACCAAAUAGCUACACUACAAAGUUGUCAUCGGGAGUGCGUUGUGAGGUCUCACCCUCGGCACUCGAUAAUAGCUCUACAGAGUCGGGCAACAAAAGGGGCAUGAUGUGAUGUGUGGUGUCGGGCUCUGGUCGUCGAUCACGUUGAUCGAGUCGUCGAUGAUGAAGCAGGGGCAACAAGGACAAGGUGGGGGUCACAGAUGGAUCACUAACCAACCUAUACUAAGCAGUUUAGGAUAAGCAGGUAAGGUACAAUGAGCAGGUUACAAAAGCAGGCUAUGCAUCAGAAUAGGAGCAAUCAAUUACAGUAGCAAAAUCUAAUGCAAGCAUGAGAGAAUGGAAUGGGCGAUAUCCGGAUGACCAAAGGGGGGCUUGCCUGGAAGCUCCGCUGAAAGGGAAGAAGGGUCGUCGGUGACGUAGUCGAUCACAGGGGCAUCGGCAUUGGUCUCGGGGUCUACCGAAGAGAAGAGGGGGAGAAAUAGUAAAUACAGAGCAAACAUAUACAUGACAAGCAAUAAGCAGCGCUAGGGGUGUUCUAACACGGCACUACACGAUACUGGCAAAGGGAGGAAAUAUCCGGAAAAGUUUUCCCGAAGUUUGGCAUUUUCGAACAGAUGAAACGGAGGGGGACGGUUGCAGGUUUGCUAUGCUAGGGACGUGUGGUAGACGAACGGGCUGCAUACUCAGAUUCGUCUCGAAAUUCUGAGCAACUUUCAUGUAGAAAACUUUUUCAUCCGAGUUGCUGAUUAUUUCCUAUGAUUUUUCAAAGAUUUAACAAUAUUUUGAAUUUAUUAUUAUUUUGAAAAUAAAUGCUAAAAUGCUAGGGACACCCAGCACAGGGUACACAAAAGUGCACCGAGUGGCUGACAGGUGGGCCAGGGGGUCCCAGUUGACCAGUAGGGUGUGGGGCCCCUGUCGUACACACAAAAACUAACCUAACAGUUUAAUUAGACUAGUUAUGUAAUUAAGCUAAUUAAACAUAGUUAAUUAAGUUAAUUAACUUAUUAACUAAUUAAUUUAUUAACUAUUAUUUUUUAACCCUUUUUUAAAUAACAGGGGCGUGGGGCCCCUGGUCAGUGGGUCGGGGGGGCUUAGCGGGCGACAGGCUAACGAGGUUGCGGGCGGGGGUGUGGGCGCCCGCCCCCGCCUGAACACGCACGGGCGUACGGGCGCGACUGGGUGGCGGCGCUGGAUGCCAGAGGAGGCCGCGGGCGCAACGUCCGGGGCGGCGCGACGAGCGGCGGGGCCGCUGAGCUGGAGCGGGGCGAGGUCAAGGCGCGGGCGAGCGGGCGCAUGACGACGAGGGCGGUCGCCAACGGCGGGCGCGGGAUGCAGGCCCAUCGGUGGCGCGGCGGGACUGCGACGCGACNNNNNNNNNNNNNNNNNNNNNNNNNNNNNNNNNNNNNNNNNNNNNNNNNNNNNNNNNNNNNNNNNNNNNNNNNNNNNNNNNNNNNNNNNNNNNNNNNNNNNNNNNNNNNNNNNNNNNNNNNNNNNNNNNNNNNNNNNNNNNNNNNNNNNNNNNNNNNNNNNNNNNNNNNNNNNNNNNNNNNNNNNNNNNNNNNNNNNNNNNNNNNNNNNNNNNNNNNNNNNNNNNNNNNNNNNNNNNNNNNNNNNNNNNNNNNNNNNNNNNNNNNNNNNNNNNNNNNNNNNNNNNNNNNNNNNNNNNNNNNNNNNNNNNNNNNNNNNNNNNNNNNNNNNNNNNNNNNNNNNNNNNNNNNNNNNNNNNNNNNNNNNNNNNNNNNNNNNNNNNNNNNNNNNNNNNNNNNNNNNNNNNNNNNNNAGCUCGGGCGGCGGUGGUCGACGACGGGGACGACGACGGCGCGAUAGAGCCGCUGGGGAGGAGGACGGGGACGAUGCGCGGCCAGCGGGCGCCAGGCGUAGGGACGUCAGCGGGGUCGGGCACUCCGCCCAGAUCCAGACGGGAGGAGGAGAAGGGUAUCGUGCGAGUGGGGAACGUGGGGGAGUGAGGGGGAUCGUGCGGGGGAAAAGAUCCCAGGGAGCUGACGUGGAGAGGGGGGACUCGGUCUUAUCCCCACGCGGCGUGGGCUGGUAGGUCAGCUGGGCUAGUUGGCCUAGUGGGGGUGAUCUUUUUUUGUUUUGCCUUUUUUGUUGUUGUUUCUCCUUGUUCUUUUAUUUACUUUUGUUGUUUGAUUUAAUUUUGAAUUUUGAAAUCGAACGUGAUUGAAUCAUCGCGAGGUUAACAACAGUAAUUGCGGUGAUGUGGCAUCAUUAGCAUGGGAUUACUGUAGCAUAAUUAUCCGGGCGUUACACAGGGAUUAAACUAAUCAUGCGGACUAGUAUAGUAGAUGAAGAGAUCAAAUCUAGGGCACAGAGUAGAACUAAGAAUUCUAGCACGAUCUCGAACAAGGAGGACAAGAUCACAUACAGUGCAGCGGGAGCAGGACCGCCAGCGUUGAUGUUGUCGCCCAUGUCGUUUAGGAAGAGGUUGCCGAGGUCGGGGAAGAAGUCGGCGGCGGCGAAGUCGUCGCUGCCAGCAGUCGCGCGAGUGCGCUCCCCAAAAACCUGAUCGCUCCUCUCCCAUACAGGAUCACAAGAGGUGGGGCUCCGGAGGCCUGCUGUCCCUUCUCGCGGUGCACUCCGAAAGGAGGGAUGGAGAAGACUUGCUUGGCAGCGCAAUGAUCUGGAACGGUGGUGCGAAACCAUGAGAAACGACGGUGGCUAGGGUAGACGUCUGCCUGACCAUAUAGUGCGGGCCGGGUAGGUCAUGCGAGUAAACCCCACGUCCGAGUCGUCGAGAUCCAAAAGAAUCGAAAACGGUUCAGUAAUUAACGCGUCUGUUGAUUAUUAACUAAUGACUCACUAAUUUUUCCCGAGCAGCAAAAAUAUAGACAAUGUGCAUAGCUCUGUCCUCGGCUCGGCUCAUUCCCGCAACCCGCGGCACGACGAGGCGUGGCGUGGCAUGGCGAGGAGGAGGAGCACGCGUGUAGGUCUCCUCUUCUCAUGCUCUUACAAGUGAUAGAAGAGCUCACCUUAUAAAGAGGUGCAACUCUCACUCAACUUCCGGGGUGGGACUAAACUUUAGUCUCACUCAUACCACUCACAAGCUAUGCAUGAAUGGGCCAAGAGAAUUUCAGAAUUUUAGUUGGGCUUUGGGCCAAAGGCCUACUAGCAAAUUCCAAGAAUCCCCCACAAAGUCUCAUUGGCACAUCUCAUCACUUAGUUCCAAAACAUUGUUUAUACACCGAUGCUUAGUGGAUAGUGUAAAGUUGAACUUCCCGUGAGAGGUUUAUGCUAGACUAGAUCGCAAUUUGAAUAGUGGACUAUGCCUUGAACUACAAGUUUUCUGCGAGACUAGUUUCACACAAAUUCUCGACCGAUACUGGGCUGCCGCAAGGCUUUCCCGUGGGUGGAGCGUAUACGUCAUAGGGCCUUUCAUGAAUUUAUUAGAGAACACCCAAUUCUCGCAGACUGGGACGUUAACAGUCAAAUUCAUAUAGGUGUGUUCCUCGGGAGAUGCUCUGCAGGACAACAUCUCUGCUUACUCAAAUAAGCCACUUGGAACACAUUAAGAUAACUAUCAACUUGCCAUGCAAAUCGGGAGAGUAUUGCAUCUUCAUGGAGUGGGAUAAUUGAAAUAGGGAUACUCUCGUCUCAGCUGACGAACAACUUGUCUCCCACUUCUACUUCACGGGAUCUCCGAUCACAUAGAGUGGGUUACCACUAUGGACAACUCAUGCGGUGGAUCUCAAACCCAUCUCCAUCGAUGCAUUAUCUAUCACAUUACGUGAUAAACCCUUUGUGAAGGGAUAUGUCAAGUUUUUCGACGUUUGGAUAUAAUCCAACGUAAUAACUCCGGAGUUCCUCAAUUUUCUGACAUAUUUUAGUCUCCUCUUCACAUGCCUUGAGGACUUCAUAUUAUCCUUAGAACUGUUUAUCUUGACGAUCACAGUUUGAUUAUCAGAGUUUAUCAUGAUAGGGGGUAUUGGUUUUUCAACCAUAGGUAAGUCCAUCAAGAGCUCACGAAACCACUCUGCUUCAACAGUGGCAGUGUCUAAUGCUGUGAGUUCUGCUUCCAUAGUUGACCUCAUUAAGAUGGUUUGCUUGCAAGACUUCCAGGAAACGGCGCCACCACCAAGUGUAAAAACGUAACCACUUGGGGCCUUAAUCUCAUCAGCAUCAGAUAUCCAAUUUGAGUCACUAUAACCCUCCAGUACCCUUGGAUACCCGGUGUAGUGAAUCCCAUAGCUCGCAGUGCCUUUCAAGUAGCGCAUAACUCUCUCAAGCGCAUGCCAAUGAUCAUCUCCCGGUUUUGACACAAACCGACUCAGCUUGCUCAGAGCAAAAGAGAUGUCAGGCCUCGUGGCACUCGCCAAAUACAUAAGCGAGCCAAUAAUCUGAGAAUACCUAAGUUGAUCUCUAGCCAUAUGUCGAUUCUUUCGAAGAAACACACUAGCAUCAUAUGGAGUUGGAGAAGGCGUGCAGUCGCUAUACCCAAAACGACUCAAGAUCUUUUCCACAUAGUGAGACUGAAGCAGUGUGAUCCCACCAUUCCCAUCUCUCGAUAGCUUGAUGUUUAAGAUAACAUCAACUACUCCUAGAUCCUUCAUCUCAAAACAGCGAGAUAAGAAAUCCUUAACCUCCUUGAUUAGAUCAAGUUUGGUUCCAAAGAUUAGUAUGUCAUCGACAUACAGACAAAGAAUAAAUCCUUCGCCCCCACCAUGGUGAUAGUACACACACUUGUCACCAUCGUUUACUACAAAGCCGGCAGCAGUUAAUGUUCUUUCGAACUUCUCAUGCCACUCCUUAGGAGCUUGUUUAAAGCCAUAUAAAGACUUUAAUAACUUGCACACCUUUCCUUCCUGACCAAGUACUACAAAACCAUCUGGCUGAUCCAUGUAAAUUUCCUCCUUCAACUCUCCAUUGAGAAAAGCCGUCUUAACGUCCAUUUGAUGAACGAGAAGACCAUGUGAGGCAGCCAGUGAUAGUAGCACCCGUAUAGUGCUCAGUCUAGCCACGGGUGAGUAAGUAUCAAAGAAGCCUUCACCUUCUUUCUGGGUAUAACCCUUGGCCACAAGCCGUGCCGUGUACUUUUAAAUCGUACCAUCAGGUCUAAGUUUCUUCUUGAACACCCACUUACACCCUACAGGUUUGCACCCAUAAGGACGGUCAGUGAUCUCCCAGGUUCCGUUAGCUAAGAUGGAAUCCAUCUCGCUACGAACAACUUCCUUCCAGUAGUCAGCAUCAGGAGAUGCAUAGGCUUCUGGUCCUGGGUGUGUCAUCCAUGAGGUACACAAUGAAGUCAUCACCAAAGGACUUUGCAGUCCUCUGUCUCUUACUCCUUACAGGAGUUUCAUUGUCACCCACAACAGGAUUCUCAACAUGUUCCAUCGCAAUCGUUGGUUCAGGAAUUACAUCGAAUUCCUCACUAGAUGGAGUAGGUAUCUCCUGAUUUGAUGAACUCGACAUAUCCUUCAUAGGAAAUAUGUCCUCAAAGAAAGUUGCAUCAUUCGACUCCAUAAUCGUACCAACAUGCAUGUCGGAUACCUCAGAUUUUAUUAUCAAAAAUCUAUAGCUAAUGCUAUGAAAAGCAUAGCCCAGAAGAACACAAUCCACGGUUUUUGGUCCAAGCUUGUGCUUCUUGGGAAUUGGUAUAUUGACUUUCGCCAAACAACCCCAGGAACAUAGGUAAGAGAGUUUCAACCUUUUCAUUUCCCAUUCCUCAAACGGAGUCAUGGUCUUAUGCUUUGUGGGAACUCGAUUUAGGACAUGACAUGCAGUCAUUAGCGCCUCCCCCCACCAUUCCUUGGAAAGACUCGAUGUGUCUAACAUGGCGUUAACCAAAUCAGUUAGAGUUCGGUUCUUUCUUUCGGCCACUCCAUUAGACUGAGGUGAGUAGGGAGGCGUCCUCUCAUGGAUUAUACCAUGUUCCACACAAAGCAAAUCAAAUUCAUUAGAAAAAUACUCUCCACCACGAUCAGACCUUAGCCGUUUAAUUUUUUGAUCAAGUUGGUUCUCCGCUUCAGCUUUAUAGUUUUUCAAGAAAGUUAAAGCCUCAUCUUUUGAUUUCAGAAGAUACCCAUAACAAUAUCUAGUGGAGUCACCAAUCCACGUCAUGAAGUAUCUCUUUCCACCUUUUGUCAACAAGUCAUUCAUCUCAUAAAGAUUAGAAUGUAUAAGCUCUAGUGGCGCCAAGUCUCUUGCCUGUGCAGUCUUAUGGGACUUGCGAGGUUGCUUAGCUUGCACACAUACGUCGCAUUUGGAGCCUUUGACAGUAGGGAUUUUCGGAAUUAAUUUCAUAUUGGCUAGCCGCAUCAUGCAGCCAAAGUUAAUAUGACAAAGUCAUGAAUGCCAAAUAUUAGACUCAUUAUUGUGGCAAACAUUAUUAAUAACUUUAGUGCAAAUAUCUGACAAAGAUAGGCGGAACAAGCCUCCGCACUCAUAGCCUUUUUCAACAAAUUUUCCACACUUGGAAAUUACAACUUUAUUGGACUUAAAAACCAACUUAAAACCAUCUCGACAUAAACGAGAACCGCUGCCGAGAUUCUUAUUGAUGGACGGCACAUGAUGAACUUUCUUCAGAUGCACGGUCUUCCCCGAAGUAAACUUCAGAUCAACCAUACCGACACCUCGAACAAUGGCAUGUGACCCAUUCCCCAUCAGCGCGGGAGAAGUCCCUGUGGCCUGGUAAGAACAAAACAUGGAGGCGUCAGCACAAACAUGUACAUUGGCACUGGUGUCAAUUAACCAAUCAAGAGAUUGAAAUACUGAAAGGAUGGUAGGAAGAAUACCGUACCUAGCUUUCUUCAUAUCAGUAUCACCGAUGACAACAUUAGCGGACUUGCCACUCUUCUCAUGUUCACGCUCCUCAAAGCGGUUAGGAUAUUUUGGAGGCCGGUGAUUAGGGUCACCAUAGACAUGGCAAAGUCCCUUCCCCUUCUUAUGAGAAUUCUUUUUGAAGUUGGUAGAAUGUGACGGCUUGUUCUUUGCAUCAAACUUGCCUUUGCCCUGAGUUUUUUUCUUGUUAUUUUUGAACUUGUUGGGCUGGAAGUUCUUCUUUUAUACCAUGUGGGCACUAGAAGCUCCCUCAUCAACUCGAGCACGUGUGUCUUUUGCUCUCGCCUUCUCUUCAACAUCAAGAGUACCAAUGAGAUCCGCACUGGAAAACUCCUGUCUCUUGUGUUUCAGGGAAGUAGCAAAAUUGUUCCACGAAGGUGGAACCUUGGCAAUGAUGCCUCCGGCAACACACACUUGAAGUACUCGAGUUCCUUCGCGAGCGACUGUAUCUCAUGAGCUUGCUGGACAACAGAACGCUCAUCGGUCAUCUUGUAGUCAUAGAAUUGCUCCAUGACGUACAACUCACUGCCGGCGUCCGAGGCCCCAAACUUGGCCUCGAACGCAGCCCACGUGUCCUUGCCGUUGUCAAACAACAUAUACGAAUCCACAAUGGAAUCAUCAAGAACACUCAGAAGGGCGCCUUUAAAGGGGGUAUCGAUCUUCUCAAAAGCUUCCUAUUGUGCAGGAUUAAGAUCGCCCUCGGGCUUGCCCUUGGUGGCGUCAUACCAGUACAUGGUCUGGAACCAGUAAACUGCUCUCAUACGCGACCUCUUAUAUUGCACCCCCUUAAAGGUAGGCGGCUUCAGAUGCGCAGCAAAACCACUCGAACUAAAUUGCCUAUAAUCAGGUUUUUGGAUUGUUGAAUAUAUAUGAGCAAAUUACUACGAGAUUUAAUCCGAACAUAUAGUAAAUAAAUCAUGACGAUGAAAACAGAGAUUAAACUAAUCAUGCGGACUAGCAUAGCAGAUGAAGAGAUCAAAUAUAGGGCACAUACUAGAACUAAGAAUUCUAGCACGAUCUGGAACAAGGACAAGAUCACAUGCGGUGCAGCGGGAGUAGGACCGCCAGCGUUGAUGUUGCCGCCCAUGUCGUUGAGGAAGAGGUUGCCGAGGUCGGGGAAGAAAUCGUCGUCGGCGAAGUCAUCGCUGCCAGCAGUCGCGCGAGUGCGCUCCCCAAAAACCUGAUCGCCCCUCUCCCGUACAGGAUCAUAAGAGGCGGGGUUCCGGAGGCCUGCUGUCCCUUCUCGCGGUGCAUGCCGAAAGGAGGGAUGGAGAAGACUUGCUUGGCGGUGCAAUGAUCUGGAACGGUGGUGCGAAACCAUGCGAUACGGCGGCGGCUAGGGUAGAUGUCUGUCUGACUAUAUAGUGCGGGCCGGGUAGGUCGUGGGAGUAAACCCCACGUCCGAGUCGUCGCGAUCCAAAAGAACUGAAAACGGUUCAGUAAUUAACGCGUUCGUUAAUUAUUAAUUAAUGACUCAUUAAUUUUUUUCGAGCAGCAAAAAUAUAGACAACGUGCAUAGCUCUGUCCUCGGCUCAGCUCAUUCCCGCCGCGGCGCGACGAGGCGAGGAGGAGGAGCGCGCGUGUAAGUCUCCUCUUCUCAUGCUCUUACAAGUGAUAGAAGAGCUCACCUUAUAAAAAGGUGCAACUCUCACUCAACUUCCGGGGUGGGACUAAACUUUAGUCCCACUCACACUACUCACAAGCUAUGUAUGAAUGAACCAAGAGAAUUUCAGAAUUUUAGCUGGGCUUUGGGCCGAAAACCUACUAGCAAAUUCCAACAUCACCUUCACUAUCACUCGUCGAUAGGUCGACGCUUUUGAAUGUCGAGUGGGGUGAACCAUGAGACACUCUUGAUUGUAAUACACGAUAACGGGGCUAUCUAGUAUAUGAGGAUGUUCAUGCCAUCCACAACGGUGCGGAAGGGGUUUACUACGCUUUAUUUGAAUUCAAUAGUAGGUUUCAUAAAGAUGGCAUCUGGAGCGGUAAGCAGCUACAAAUGGUGCCCCACAUUAUUCAAAGUCGAUCAUCUUAGUCUUGAUAUCUGCAUUAAUAACCGAGCUAGUUCCCAUAUACUAACCGUAGCCGCACAAUCAGUCACUACAAGGAUCUCUUGAAGGUUCAGAUGAGAAGCAACGCUAGGGCAUCACUAAAAGCCAUCGCCUCGAGGAUCUUCGAUUGUGCUUGGUCUAGGAAUGCAACCGCUGAAGCUCCCAAAAAAAGAACCAUUUCAUUCCGGCAGACCACAACCAGCGAUCCUUUACGAGAUUUCUAUUUGCCGCACUUUGCGGCAAAGUGUCGACGAAUCGCACAAGGAGGAUGCUACCAGCGAGCGAUUUGGGCCGGCCCAUCUUUAGCGCGUACCUACAGGUUCCGGUUUUGGGAUCCUUCUAGAGCGUUCCCAGCCAGUUCUUACUGGUUUUGGGAACCAUCUAGAAGGUUCCUGAACUGGUUUAUAAUUUUUUCUUUUCUUUUUCUUUUUUACUCUUUCUGUUUUUUUCUUCUUCCCUUUUCUGCUUCUUUUUUCUUUUGUUUUCGUAACUUUUUUGUUUUCUUUCAGUUUUCUUUUUCAAGUUAAUUUCUCUUUUCAACAAAUUUUCUUUCUUUCGUUUUUCAUUUAUUUUUAUUUUCUUCUCUUUUUCUCAAACUUUUUUCAAAAUAUUCAAGUUUUGUUCAUGUUUCCAUAAAAUGUCCAGCUUUCGAAAAAAAUGUUCUCAUUACACAAAAACGUUUAAAACUUUUGAAAUUCAGAAAAUGUACCGGAUUUCAAUUUCUGGUUCACGUAUUAAAAAAAUCACGCUUCCAAAUUUGUUAGGGAUUUUUCAAAUUUGUUCUCCAGAUUCAAGAAAUGUUCGUGCUUCGAAAUUUGUUCUCCGUUCUGAAAAUUGUUCUCAUGUUUCAAAAAAUGUUUGUGCUUUAAUUUUUUCAGAAAUUUCAAAACGUUCAUGUUUUCAAGAAAUAUUCAGUUUUUGAAAAAAAUAUUCUCAAAAUUCAAAAAUUGUUCUCAUUACACAAAAGAGUUCAAAAAUUUUGAAAUUCAGAAAAUGUACCAGAUUUCAAUUUUUUGUUCACGUAUUCAAAAACAUUCACGCCUCCAAAUUUGUUCAGGAUUUUUUUCAAAUUAAUCUCUGUUUCAAAAUUUGUUCUCAAAAUUCAUAAAAUGUCCGUGCUUUAAAAAAUUGUUCGCGCUUCGUAAUUUGUUCUCAAGAUUCAAAAAAUGUUUGUGCUUUAAAAAAUUGUUCACAAAUUCCAAAACCAUCAUGUUUUCAGUUUUUUUGGGGAAAUUCAAAAUUUGUUCGCGUGCAAAAGUUGUUCAUGUUUACAAAUUUUGUUUUGGAAUUUGAAAAAUGUUCCUGUUUUUGUAAAAUUGUUCCUGUUCAGUUUGUUGGGUAGCUUAGAAAAUGUUCCUGUUUAAAAAAUGUUUGAUUCUCCAAAAUUCAUUUGCAUGUUUAAAUAAGUUUGAGUUCUCUCAAAAUUCUUACCAAAUUUGAAAAAUGUUCCCGUUUGAUGAAACAUUCACGUUGUUUUUGAAAAAAAUAUCGUUCAAAUUUUAGAAACAUUCGGAUUGGCGUUUGAGUUUCUUAAGGUGUUGCGCUGUAAUGUAAUCAUUUAAGAUCACUAGCUCAAUUGGUUAGAGGCAUAUGCUCUCGAGCAGCCAGUCCUUGGUUCGAACCACGGAAACCCCUAUUUGACGCUUUCUGCGUCAAACAGUUGACCGACGCACAAGGGAUAGACCGAUCGUACAGGGUACGCGAUAAAGUGGGCCGUCCCAUCUCCCGCUGUACGAAGUUCCGGUUUUGGGAACUUUCAAGAAGUUUCCCAGACGGUUUUUAUCCGUUUCUAGAGGGUUCCUUAAGCGGGGUUUUUAUUUUCCUGUUAUUUUCUGUUUCUCUUUCCUUUUUCAGUUUUUUUCUGUUUUAUCUGUUUGGUUUCCUUUUUUCUUUUUUUUCUUUUUCCCUUUUAUUUCAAAUUAAGUCCGAGAACUCAAGUAUUGUUCAAAAUUCAAAAAAAAAAUCUUGUUUUUGAAAAUUGUUCAUCGUUUCAAAAUACUGUUCCAAAUCAAACAUUGUUCUCAUUUUUUCUAAAAUUGUUCUCAUUUUUUCAAAAAUUGUUCACAACUUCAAAAAAUGUUUCGCACUUUACAAAAAGUGUUUGGGAAUUUAAAAAAUGUUCCCAUUUUCAAUUUUUUGUUCACAAAUUUAAUAAUAUUUAUAUUUUUAGAUAAAGUGUGCAUUUGUCAAGAAUUUGUUUUAUUUUAAAAAAAUCUUUCUUAUUUUCAUAAAUUGUUCAUAGAUUCAAAAUAUGUUCUUAUUUUCAAAUUUUGUUGACAUCUGAAAAAAUGUUCAUUGUUUCAGAAAAAUUCCGGAGUUUCAAAAAAUUGUUCGUAUUUUCAAAAAUUGUUCAUAGAUUCAAAAAAUGUUCGUCUUUUAAAAAACAUUCACAUCUGAAAAUGUUCAUGUUUUCACUUUUUGUUCAGAGUUCCAAAAAAUGUUCGUGUUUCCACUUUUAUUCCUAAUUUCAGAAAAAUAAUUUCAUUUUUUAAAAAAAAUCACAAAAUCAAGAGAUGUUUGAUUUUCUAAAAUUUCGUUAGAUUUUUUUUAAUAUUUCACACGUCAAAAAGUAAUUAGUUCCUUAACUAAAUCGUGUUUGAAUUUUCAUUAGACAUUCAAUCUUACAAUACUGCCUUAUUAAAGCCAUGAGCUAGGAAUUUAACAGCAAGCCUCUUCAGGUGCGCUUGAUACUAGCCUGCGUGUAGUUUGUGUGGUCGUGGGUUCGAACCUGAUCGAGCGCAUUAAUUUUUGGAGUUUUCGGGUGCGCUCCCGCUGCUGGGCCGGCCCAGUUCGCUACUUCUGUGUGCGUCAAGACGCUACUCGCCGUAGAAUGCGGCGCAUAGGAGUUCCAUUUUUUAUUCCAGCGUUAUGUACUUGUCGCUAGCGAGAUAGGCCCACCAAGCCCGUGAAUGAGCAGCCCUAUGCGAGUGCCCAGCAAUUUGACGCAAAACGAAAAGUUUUCCCUCUAGUUAGGGUUUUGUUCCUCGGGGGGCGAUUUUCGCUACCGUCGAGACCUGUCCUUCCCCGCCCGCGAUUCCUCCCCAGCUGGUUCCCCUGGAUCGUAAGGGGCCGCUCGCACUGCUCCUGAUCGGAGGCGCUGGCUGUUGGGUGGAUUGGGGGCAUAGGGCAUCUGCAGAACCCGAUCGCUAAACUCGGGUUAGGGUUUCAACAUGGCGGCGGACGGAUCCCCGAUUCCAGAGGGGUCAGCGACGUUGAAAGAAUGAUGCAAGAGCUGGGCUUGAAGGAGGAAGACCUAGACGACGUGGUCUUCGACGAGAAGGACGCGCCGCAGGCGGCAGCUGGAUGGAUCGCUGUUGCUAGGGUUAACUCUAAUAAACCCUAUAGUCAGUUUUGGUUCUUUCGGAACAUGAGAGCGGCUUGGGACCUCGCGCAAGAAGCCAAGUUCAAGCCUCUAGAAGAGAAUCUCUAUACUAUCCAAUUUUCCUGCUUAGGGGAUUGGGAGAGGGUCAUGCAGGAGGGACCGUGGCACUUCCGUGGGGAUGCAGUCAUCCUGAAGGAAUAUGACGGAGUGACGAAGCCAUCAAAUGUCAAGCUGGACACAAUUGAGAUCUGGAUCCAGAUUCAUGAUGUCCCAAUCCUCUACGCCCAUCUGGUUCCAUCCCUUGCAUCAAAGGUGGGUGAGGUUCUUUUCACCGAAUCCCAGUCGCAUGAUUUCACCAAACCCCUCAAGAAUGCAGUAUCCAUGAUACGGGGUGGCGAGAGGCAGAUAUACAAGGUCAAAUACGAGAAGCUACCGGAUUGGUGUGCGGUGUGCGGCAUGCUGGGUCAUCUCUUCAAGGAACAAGGGACAGGCAUCCGCCCUCCGUCAGCUCUUGUCUUUAAGGAGCUCAGGGCGUCUUGGUUCAUGAGGAACGGCAGCGGCCCGGGAGGAGGUCGCGGACGCAGGGGUGGUCGCAGAGGAGGACGUACUGGAAGAAGCGGGAGGUCACGCUCUCAGCAGGGCGGGGAUGACGAAGAGCACACGGAACAAGUCUUGGAGAUGCUUCAUGCUGAGAGACUCAGGAAGAGGGGAUCGGAACCAACGCAGCACCAAGCCCAGGUUGUGCUCUCGAACAAUUCUGACCAAUCUUCGGCGGUGACAAAUGGGACUAUGCUGGCACUGCCCCCUCCAUCGGUGCCACUAAGCCCAAGCGCUAUUAAGGAGACAAAGAGAGCAAAGACGGUGCCUGAGACGGAGAAGGUUUCAGCGGCGAGAAGCUUGUUGCUCAGCAAGAUCGAUCCAAAGUUGGCGGGCCCGAGUGACGGGCACCGCCGAGCCCAAUGAGUGUACUUUGCUGGAACUGUCGCGGCGCGGGCAAAGCCGCGACAGUCCGUGAACUUCGCGAAUUCGCGAAGAAAUUUGCCCCUACCCUACUGUGUAUUGUAGAAACCCAGCUCGAAGGCUCGAGGGUAGAAGCGCUAGCAGGUACACUUGGAUAUGAAAAUGGUUAUGCAGUUAGUAGUCGUGGUAGAAGUGGGGGUAUUGGUAUGUUUUGGAACAAUGAAAUGAAUAUCGAGUUUUUGGGUUAUUCUGAUUAUCACCUUGACUGCUCGGUCCUUGAACCGGGUGAUGAUCCUCGGAGAUUAACUGUAGUAUAUGGCGAAGCUCUGACCCACAAGAGACACCAGACGUGGGACACGUUAAAAAACAUCAGCACUUUGAGCAGUCUCCCCUGGCUAUGUGUUGGUGAUUUCAAUGAGGUGUUGCGUCCGGAAGAACACGUGGGAGUCGGACAGCGAAGCAAUGCGCAAAUCCAAGCUUUCAGAGACGUCGUCGACGUUUGCAUGUUACUUGACAUUGGUUAUGCUGGAAUUCCAUGGACUUUUGAAAAGAAGGUCACGGGAGGAACAUUUACAAGGGUGCGUCUUGACAGAGCCUUGGCCUCGGCGGAAUGGCAAGCCCGCUUUCCUUUGGCUGAUCUCACACAUCUGGUGGCAGCCACGUCCGAUCAUAGCCCUAUAUUGGCGAGGAUGAAUAGAGAGCAAAGACAUAAUGAGAGGCAAAGCUCGUUCAAAUAUGAGGUCAUGUGGGAGGGCCACGAUUCCUAGAGCAGUAAGAUCACGGAGGCAUGGGCAAAUCCUGGAGCUGCCACCAGGUUAGAAGAACUCAGAGCAAAACUUACAACGGUGUCACAAGAUCUUGGGCGAUGGAAUAGGGACACCUUUGGGAGUGUACACAAAGAGAUUAAACAGUUGAAGGGGGAACUUGAGAAACUUAGAUCGGACGCAAGCCGAACCGCUCCAACACAUGUCGAACUUAAGAUCAAUGAAAAGCUUGUGGAGCUAUAUCACAGGGAGGAGGUUAUGUGGAGGAAGAUAUCUAGGGUGGAGUGGCUCUCUUCGGGAGACAGGAACACUAGAUUUUUUCACCUACGGACAAGCAUCCGUCGCAAGAAAAACAUGAUCAAGGCUUUGCAAAAUUCACUUGGUGUGCUAACAGACGAUCUGGAGGAGUUGAAGGCCAUGGUAAAUGAUUUCUAUAAAACACUAUAUACCACGGAGGGGGUGGGUAACAUGGAGACGGUCCUCAACUGUGUCCCGGCUAAAGCAACGUUGGAGAUGAAUGAGUUGUUGUGUUCCCCUUACACAAAUGAGGAGGUUAAGGCAGCUUUGUUCCAGAUGUUCCCGACCAAGGCACCUGGUCCUGACGGAUUUCCGGCACAUUUUUAUCAGCGACACUAGGAGCUUUGUGGUGCAGAGGUGACUGAGGCAGUGUUGAGGAUUGUGAGAGGGGAGGAGAGCCCGGAAUUCAUAAACGACACUAUCCUUGUUCUUAUUCCCAAGGUAACAAACCCCUCCAUCUUGUCACAAUUUAGGCCCAUUAGCCUAUGCAAUGUCCUAUACAAAAUUGCAUCCAAAGUCAUUGCAAACAGGCUUAAGCAAAUUUUGCCGGAUAUCAUAUCUGAGGAGCAAUCGGCCUUCGUACCAGGCAGACUCAUCACGGAUAAUAUCAUAAGUGCAUAUGAGUGCCUUCAUUUCAUGAAGCGGAGUAAAGCGAAGGCUAACAGCUAUUGUGCACUUAAGCUUGAUAUGAUGAAAGCAUAUGAUAGGCUGGAAUGGGACUACCUGGAAGCAAUCAUGGGAAAACUAGGGUUUGCCACCCCCUGGAUAAAAACAGUCAUGAGCAUGGUGCGGUCUGUUUCUUUUUCGGUGCUCUUUAAUGGUGAGAGGCUUGAUCAUUUCAUGCCGAGCAGAGGUAUAAGGCAGGGAGAUCCGAUAUCCCCCUAUAUCUUCUUAAUUGCAGCGGAGGGCCUUUCGUGCCUCCUGAAAACCAGUUCUUUGUCACCAAAUAUUGUUGGAGUAAAGGUGGCACCCACGGCUCCGGCCGUUAACCACCUUCUUUUCGCAGAUGACAGACUGCUGCUUUUUAAGACAGGGAAUGAGGGGGUAGUAGCGGUAUUAAACCUACUGCAAACGUACUGUUUGGCUUCGGGACAGAGGAUAAAUCAUGAUAAAUCUUCGAUUUUCUUCAGCAGAGGAUGCCCACAAGCGGUAAGAGAUGAUAUGAAGAAUGUCCUGAAUGUGCAUAACGAGUCCCUAAGUGACGGGUACUUAGGAAUGCCAACAGAGGUCGGACACUCGAAGAACGGGACUUUCAAAUAUUUGAGGGAUCGAGUUUGGGAAAAGGUGAGAGGAUGGAUGGAAAAACUCUUAUCUUCAGCGGGGAAAGAGGUUCUGAUUAAAGCAGUUGCCCAAGCAAUUCCAGUAUAUUCGAUGGCCUGUUUUCGCCUCCCUCGGGGACUAUGUGAAAGUGUUACUUCGCUAAUCAGACAAUUCUGGUGGGGAAGCAAGCAAGGGAAACGGAAGCCGAGUUGGGUGGCAUGGGAUGUGAUGACCUUACCAAAGCAUCUCGGAGGCCUUGGCUUUCGGGAUAUGGAGAUGUUUAACUUGGCCCUCCUAGCUCGGCAGUCCUGGCGCAUGUUGCAAAAACCCCUGUCCCUGAGUGCGAGGAUAUUGAAAGCAGUCUAUCAUCCUAACUCAGACAUCUUUGGUGCAACGUUGGGAUCCCACCCCUCGCAGAUAUGGAGAGCUAUAUUGGAUGGACGAGAUAUCAUGGUCCAGGGGCUGGUGCGCAGAAUUGGAGACGGUGAAACAACAAAUAUAUGGGAGGACAAUCGGUUGCCGAGACCAAAUAUGAAAAGGCCGAUCACUUCUCUAGUCCCUGAUCCACCGAUGAGUGGCCGAGUUGAUAGACCAUACUUCAUCAUCCUGGAGGGAGGAUCUGGUCCGGUCGGUGUUUAUAUCGAUAGAUGUUGUAGCCAUAUUACAGAUACCCCUUUGCACAUGUCAGACGGAUGAUUUUUGGGCUUGGUCAGAGGAGCGGAAGGGCAUGUUUUCUGUGCGAUCGGCAUAUCGGAUGAUUCAGCGAACAAAGCUAAGUAGGGAGGCAUGGUUGUAUGAACAGGGUGCCUUUUCUGACUCUCUAGGUACAGACCAAGGUUGGUCUGAGCUGUGGCGGAUUAGGGUUCCCUCAAAGCUGAAUUUUUUUCUUAUGGAGAUUAGCCAAACACUCUAUCCCCACAGCUGCACUUCUCCAUCACCGGAACAUGUCAACUUCAAGAGCUUGCUGUCUUUGCGGGGCUGUCGACACUUGGCGCCAUGCUCUAGUGGACUGCUCGGUCUCAAGGAGCACUUGGGCACUUUCUUCUGAAGCUGUCCUUGACAAACUGAGUACAUGCAGAGAGGAAAACGCAAAGAGAUGGCUGUUCGUCAUGCACGAAGCUCUGAACCAAGAUGAUUUUCUUGUCUUUGUUGUCACCCUAUGGGCGCUGUGGAGUGCUCGUAGGAAGGCAAUGUACAAGGAUAUCUUCCAAACACCUUUUGCCAUCAACGGUUUUGUAAAAUCCUACAUUGCAGAGCUCAAAGCCCUCCACGAGCCGGGUGCGGCUGGCAUUAGGGUGCCACAACAUCGCCCUAAUUGCUAGAUUGCACCGCCCUUGGGGAUGGUCAAGAUCAAUGUAGAUGCCGCGGUGGGCCGAGUGCAUGGUGCAGCGGGAGCUGGGUGCAGAGACCGAGACGGAGCCUUCUUGGGAGCUUCGGCGGUGGUUUUCUCCCAUCUGUCAGACCCAGGCACCCUGGAGAUGCUCGCUAUCAGGGAGGCUCUGGCGUUAGCAGAUGAUCUCUGUGUCAGGAGGAUACAUGUUGCCUCAGAUUGUAAGGUGGCCGACGACAUUCAAU
This 28458-nucleotide long non-coding RNA is filed under the name Triticum aestivum (bread wheat). RNAcentral describes it as "long non-coding RNA (TAES_LNC018454)". Lineage: Eukaryota; Viridiplantae; Streptophyta; Magnoliopsida; Poales; Poaceae. The record is from RNAcentral.